GGGGAAAAAUUAAUAAAUUAUAAAUAAUAAAAUAAAUUUUAAAAUUAAAAAUAAAUAAUGGGGGUUAAAGUAUUUUUAAUGGAAAAAAUUUAAAAUUUUAUAGUGAAUUAAGUAUUGUAAAAGAAAUUUGAAAUAAUUGAAAAAUAAAAUAGGGGGAAAGAAAAUUUAGUUUAUUGUAUCUUGUGUAUCAGAGUUUAUUAAAUAAUUAUUUUAAAUAAAAAAAUCUCGAAUUUAAAAGAGUUAAUUAAUUAAAAAAGUUAAUGUAACAUAAUUAUUUUAAAUAAUUAGUUAGAAAUGAAAUGUUAAACGUUUUUAAAUAUAUCUAGUUAUUUUAGAAAAAAAUUUAAUUUUAAAUUUAAAUAAUUUUAUAAUUUAUUUAAAAAUUAUAAAAAUUUAAAUUUUAUAUUUUAAGGGAUAAGCUUUGAAUUAAAAAUUUAUAAUAAUAAUAAAUUAAAAUUAAAAUUUUUAAAAUUUAUAUUGUUUAAAAAUUAUAAUUUAUUAUAAAAAAUUUUAAUAAAAAUAAAAUUUAAUUAAAAAUUUAAAUUUUUAUAAAAUAAAAAUUUUUAAUAAAAAAAAAUUAAUAAUAAUGAUAAAAUUAGUAUAAUAUUAUAAAUAAAAAUAUAUUAAAAAAUAAUUAAAUUUAAAUUAAAGGAAUUCGGCAAAAAGAUAUAUUCACUUGUUUAUCAAAAACAUGUCUUUUUGAAUAAAUAAUUUAAAGUCUAAUCUGCCCACUGAUAAAUAUUAAAGGGCUGCAGUAUAUUGACUGUACAAAGGUAGCAUAAUCAUUAGUUUUUUAAUUGAAAACUUGUAUGAAAGAUUGGAUGAAAUAUAAACUGUCUCUAAUUUAUUAUUAGAAAUUUAUUUUUUAGUUAAAAAGCUAAAAUAAUUUUAAAAGACGAGAAGACCCUAUAGAGUUUUAUAUUUAAAUUUAUUUAAAAAAUAUAUAAAAUUUUUAUUUUUAAAUAAAUUUAAAUAUUGUGUUGGGGUGACAGAAAAAUUAAAUAAACUUUUUUUAAAAAUUAAACAUAAAUAAAUGAUUAAAUGAUCCAUUAAUAAUGAUUAUAAGAAAAAAUUACCUUAGGGAUAACAGCGUAAUAUUUUUUUUUAGUUCAAAUAAAAAAAAAAGUUUGCGACCUCGAUGUUGGAUUAAGAUAAAAUUUAAAUGCAAAAGUUUAAAAUUUUGAUCUGUUCGAUCAUUAAAAUCUUACAUGAUCUGAGUUCAAACCGGUGUAAGCCAGGUUGGUUUCUAUCUUUAGAGAGUAAGAAUAUUUUAGUACGAAAGGAUCAAAUAUUGAAAAUAAUUUUUAUAAUUAGAAUAUUAUUAAUAAAAUUGAAUAU
Molecule: ribosomal RNA, 1338 nt
Filed under: Neope goschkevitschii
Lineage: Eukaryota; Metazoa; Arthropoda; Insecta; Lepidoptera; Nymphalidae
Description: l-rRNA
Rfam family: Archaeal large subunit ribosomal RNA (bases 1083-1241)
Source: RNAcentral